Molecule: ribosomal RNA, 253 nt
Filed under: uncultured bacterium
Lineage: Bacteria
Description: partial 16S ribosomal RNA
Rfam family: Bacterial small subunit ribosomal RNA
Source: RNAcentral
CACGUAGGGAGCAAGCGUUGUCCGGAUUUAUUGGGCGUAAAGAGCUCGUAGGCGGUUUGUCGCGUCUGCCGUGAAAGUCCGGGGCUCAACUCCGGAUCUGCGGUGGGUACGGGCAGACUAGAGUGAUGUAGGGGAGACUGGAAUUCCUGGUGUAGCGGUGAAAUGCGUAGAUAUCUGAAGGAACAUCAGUGGCGAAAGCGACUUCCUGGACGAAUACUGACGCUCAUGUGCGAAAGCGUGGGGAGCAAACAGG